Molecule: ribosomal RNA, 504 nt
Filed under: uncultured bacterium
Lineage: Bacteria
Description: partial 16S ribosomal RNA
Source: RNAcentral
GGAGUUAGCCGGUGCUUCUUCUGCGAGUAACGUCACAGAUGUAAGGUAUUAACUUACACCCUUUCCUCCUCGCUGAAAGUGCUUUACAACCCGAAGGCCUUCUUCACACACGCGGCAUGGCUGCAUCAGGGUUUCCCCCAUUGUGCAAUAUUCCCCACUGCUGCCUCCCGUAGGAGUCUGGGCCGUGUCUCAGUCCCAGUGUGGCUGAUCAUCCUCUCAGACCAGCUAGGGAUCGUCGCCUAGGUGAGCCUUUACCUCACCUACUAGCUAAUCCCACCUGGGCUUAUCCAUCAGCGCAAGGCCCGAAGGUCCCCUGCUUUCCCCCGUAGGGCGUAUGCGGUAUUAGCAGUCGUUUCCAACUGUAUCCCCACAAUGGCAAUUCCCAGGCAUUACUCACCCGUCCGCCGCUCGUCAUCUUCAAAGCAAGCUUUUGAAAUGUUACCGCUCGACUUGCAUGUGUUAGGCCUGCCGCCAGCGUUCAAUCUGAACCAGAUCAAAUUCUGA